GACACUAUGGCCGAGUGGUUAAGGCGACAGAUUCGAAAGCUGAAUCAUCUGUUUCGCUCUGCGAGCGCAGGUUCAAAUCCUGCUGGUGUCG
This is a transfer RNA of Dichomitus squalens LYAD-421 SS1, 91 nucleotides long. It matches the Rfam family "tRNA". Rfam says of the family: Transfer RNA (tRNA) molecules are approximately 80 nucleotides in length. Their secondary structure includes four short double-helical elements and three loops (D, anti-codon, and T loops). The record is from Rfam. NCBI's taxonomy places the organism in Eukaryota, Fungi, Basidiomycota, Agaricomycetes, Polyporales, Polyporaceae.